RNAcentral lists this ribosomal RNA (440 nucleotides) under uncultured bacterium. RNAcentral describes it as "partial 16S ribosomal RNA". It matches the Rfam family "Bacterial small subunit ribosomal RNA", at positions 338 to 795 of the family's 1533-position model. The record is from RNAcentral.
CCUACGGGAGGCAGCAGUGGGGGAUAUUGCACAAUGGGGGAAACCCUGAUGCAGCGACGCCGCGUGAGUGAAGAAGUAUUUCGGUAUGUAAAGCUCUAUCAGCCGGGAAGAAAAUGAUAGUACCUGACCAAGAAGCCCCGGCUAACUCAGUGCCAGCAGCCGCGGGAAUGAGCUGGGGGCAAGCGUUAUCCGGAUUUACGGGGUGUAAAGGGGGCGUAGACGGUUAUGCAAGUCUGGAGUGAAAGCCCGGGGCCCAACCCCGGGACUGCUUUGGAAACUGGGUGACUUGAGUACAGGAGGGGCAGGCGGAAUGCGUGGUGUAGCGGUGAAAUGCGUAGAUAUCAGGAGGAACACCGGCGGCGAAGGCGGCCUGCUGGACUGAAACUGACGUUGAGGCUCGAAAGCGUGGGGAGCAAACAGGAUUAGAUACCCGAGUAGUC